AAGAGUGCAGUAAUUGGAUGGAAGCCCGGGCUUUGAGAAUGAAGGGCGCUUUCAUAGGCGAAAGGUCAUGGGGAGAUACCGUCUCUGAUCCAUGGAUUUCCGAUCGGAAAACUGCAUCCAAAUUCCAUAGCGGGUAUGCGCUCAUUGUACUUUCAAACUUAACGAACUAAAACAUCUUAGUAGCUAUAGGAAAUAAAAUCAACCAAGACCCCGUUAGUUGCGGCCAGCGAAGCUAGUUAGAGCUUGAAAAGAUUGCUAGCUUUCUUCCAAGAUUAAAUGAUGGACAAACUAGCAAGCGACGACCAAGGUUCCACACGUGCAGGUAACUGUACUGUGAAAAGAUUAGAAGAUCUGGCCAAAGAAGGUGAGUACCCCGUAGACUCGUUCCAAGAUUCGAUCCUUCCCAGUAAACACAAUGUGUUUGAAUAUGAUCGUUUUUACGCGAUGAAGGAGGAUCACCCUAUAAUCCUAAGUAUUCGGUGACUAAUGGUGUAGGGAAACUGUGAGGGAAAGGUGUAAAUAACCUUAUUUAGGGAGUGCAGUAGAGAACUUGAAAUUCAAUACAAACAAUCAUUCGAAGGAUCAGAUGGCUCUAACUGCGUACCUUCUACAUGAUUGGUCCACGAGAAAAUGGGGAGAGCAUCUUAAGCUAUCAGGUUUAGGCGUUUUCCAAAGAUUAAUUUUAUAGUUUUUCUUAUUUGACCUUAAACCAAUCGAUCUAUCCAUGAGCAGGUUUAAGAGAGCCCUAACAGGUCUUGGAGGAUCGAACUUAUGUAUGUGGAAAAAUACGUGGAUGGAUUGUGGCUUGCGGUGAAAGGCCAAUCAAGAUCGGAUGUAGCUGAUUUUCCACGAAAUGUAUUUCAGUAGAGCGUAUAAAGUCGACGGCCCGAGGUAGAGCGCUCAUUGGGCUAUGGUGGCCACAAUUUUAUUUACCAACAAGGGGAAACUCCGAGUACGGUCUUAAAUCGUUUAUACAGACAGACUUUGGGGGCUAAGAUCCAAAUUGGAGAGCAAAACAUCUCUAUUUGUACGCUAAGGUCCCAAACAACCACUUAGUGGAAAAGGAAAUGACGAUCUAUGACAAUCAGGAAUAGAAGCGGCUAUCAUCUGAAGAAACCGCAAUAGUUCACUGGUCUAGCACCAUGGCACCGAAAGUAUAUCGAGGUUCAAGUGAUUCGCCGAAGCGACGAGAUAUUGAAUCAAGUGUCAGUAGCGGGACGUUCUGUCGAUCGGUGAAGGUUUUUGGUGACAAGACCUGGAGAUAUCAUAAGUGAGAAUGCCGACAUGAACAACAAGAUAUCCUGUAAAAAAUAAGAUAGCCUACCAGUUUAGUAAAUCUACGCAUAGUGAAUCGGUCCAUAAGAAAAACUAUAAAGGGCUUGGUUUGAUGGGUACACGAAAAUGACGAAGUUCCUUUGACUACUAAACCAUGCUUGUCUCUUGGAGUAUCAGAUCGUGCAGCAAGAUAUGGACGAAAAUACUCAUAUGUCCUACAUGUGAGGGGUUCAACCCGCUAAUAAGCCUUACCUUCUAAGCAAUGAAAACAAUACGUCAUCAAAACCUUUAUGAGUUUGAAACUUUUAGGAAAAAACUUUGAAUUAGGAGGGGAGUUUUUCUGUGAAUUAGGAAAGUGGCAUAUACCAGGGAUUAGUGACAGUUUAUUAAAAACACAAGACUCUACUAUGUGGUAAUACAAAAGUAUAGAGUCUGACACCCGCUCGGUGAUGGUAGGCUGGAUGGAAGUGCGAUUAUAUUUGAAUAUAAAUUCCAAUAGACGACGCUAUUAACUCAACCUGUCCUAAGGUAGCAAAAUUCCUUGUCACAUAAAUAGUGACCUACUCGAAUGAUGUAACAACUGCCCUGCUAUCUCCAACAUAUACUCGAUGAAAUUGAAUUGUCCGUGAAGAUGCGGAGUACCAAAGGUUAGACGGUAAUACCGUGUGCACCUUGACUAUAGCUUCUGAAUAAAAAUAUGAAAGACCUUUCGUCUAAGGGUGUCUAACCGCCACACUAGGUAUUCGGAUAUCGGAAAAAUACUGUGAGGUGGGUUGUUUAUCUGGGCGGAUACCUCCUAAAGAGUAAUGGAGGCAUGCGAAGGUUGGCUCAAGUUUUAAUUAUGCUUGUGAAUGUAAUGGUAUAAGCCUGUCUGACAAUGAGACCUACUAGUCAAAUAGAGACGAAAUUCGUCCAUAGUGAUUCGGGAAUCCUAUGUGAAAGGGCUUUCGCCCAACGGAUCAAAGGUACGUCGGGGAUAACAUGAUGAUGACUCCAAAGAGUUCUUAUUAACGGAGUAGUUUGGCAUCUAGAUGUCGAAUCAUCAAAUCCUGAGGUUGAAGAAGGUCCCAAGGGUUCAGUUGUUUUUCGAUUCAUGUGGUACGUGAGUUGGGCUUAGAACAUCAUGAGAGGGUUCGAUUGCUACCUAAUGUUAGUGUUAAAGGCAGAACUGCGAGGAGCCAACCCUAUUAUGAGAGGACUGGGUUAGGCCAACCUAUGGUUUUUAUGUCUAUAUCAUCGCCGAUAAUCUAAGUUCGUAUGGAAUAACUACAACUUGAGAGAAAUCCUUCUCAAUACAAGUUCUCAUACAAGGUUUUUGAAUGGAACUUUGAUAUGCGAGAUUUGUAAGCAUCGUUAUUUGUUCAGCCAUAUCGUAGUAAACGAAAGAAAAAUAAAAGAA
RNAcentral lists this ribosomal RNA (2674 nucleotides) under Papaver somniferum (opium poppy). RNAcentral describes it as "bacterial LSU rRNA". It matches the Rfam family "Bacterial large subunit ribosomal RNA". Lineage: Eukaryota; Viridiplantae; Streptophyta; Magnoliopsida; Ranunculales; Papaveraceae. The record is from RNAcentral.